RNAcentral lists this long non-coding RNA (1145 nucleotides) under Nicotiana benthamiana. RNAcentral describes it as "long non-coding RNA (NBEN_LNC026815)". The record is from RNAcentral. Lineage: Eukaryota; Viridiplantae; Streptophyta; Magnoliopsida; Solanales; Solanaceae.
AGCUGGAACAGAUGCAGCCUGAGAAUAGUAUAGAGGCUCAGAUUCCAAAGAGGAGGAAGAUGAGCCAGAGAAGGCAGGGAGUUGACAGACAUAAUCCUGAAGAUAGGAAGGAGGAUUAUGUUGUCUUUGAGACUUUCUUGGAGCAGGAACAGAGGAAGAAGGAACUAAAAUAGAAGGUGGACCAGCAGGAUUGGAAGAAGUAGGACCAGAGGGAGAAGAGGGAGGAGAGAGAGGAAUGGGAGAAUUAGAGGCAUCAUCAUGUUCUCCAGAUGGAAUAAAGGGAAAAGAGGAAGCAGGAGGAGAAGCAGAAGAAGACACAGAUUUAAAAGGAAAAACUGAUUCAUGAAAGAGAACAUCCCUGGAGACCAAAUACUUCUUAGAUGCAAGAUCAUACAGCCUAUAACCCUUCCUGCCAAAAGGAUAACCCAGAAAAACACAAGGAAUGACUCUUGGCUUUAACUUGUCCCUUUGAGGGAUGUGAACAGUGGCAUAGGCAAGGCAACCAAAAGUCCUCAAGUGAGUAUAGGAUGGAAUUUUCCCAUACAAAAUUUCAUGAGGAGACUUAUUAUGAAGCAAUCUUUGAGGGAUGGGAAUAGUGGCAUAGGCAAGGCAACUAAAAGUCCUCAAGUGAGUGUAGGAUGGAAUUUCCCAUACAAAAUUUCAUGAGGAGACUUAUUAUGAAGCAAUCUGGGGGGUAUUCUGUUAAGAAGAUAGGUGGCAGUCAACAAGCAGUCCCCCCAGAAAGAUACUGGCAAGCUAGAUUGAAAGAGCAAAGCUCUACAGGUUUCAAGAAGAGUUCUAUGCUUUCUCUCAACAACACCAUUUAGUUGAGGAGUGUGAGGGCAGGAGGUUUGAUGUAUGAUUCCCUGGCUGCUAAAGAAAGAAACACCCUCAUUGCUAGAGCCCAAUUCUAGGGCAUUGUCACUUCUAACAGUCUGAACCACAACAUUAAAUUGGGUUCUGACCAGAGAGAGAAAUGACUGCAUGGAAAAAGCAUUGCUUUUGGAUCCCAGUAGGUAUGUCCAGGUUGCCCUCGAAAAGUCAUCAACAAUUGUAAGGAAAUACUUACAACCAGAAGAGGUUGGAGUAUGAUAAGGUCCCCAGGUGUCCACAUGAAUCAGUUGAAAAGGUCUAGAAGUCUUAAU